AAACUUCACACGAUCUUUGUUCUGCAUCGAUGAAGACGCAGCGAAUGCGAUAAGUAG
RNAcentral lists this ribosomal RNA (57 nucleotides) under uncultured Cenococcum. RNAcentral's name for it is "partial 5.8S ribosomal RNA". The record is from RNAcentral. Lineage: Eukaryota; Fungi; Ascomycota; Dothideomycetes; Gloniales; Gloniaceae.